This 90-nucleotide transfer RNA is filed under the name Dehalococcoidia bacterium. RNAcentral describes it as "tRNA-Ser". It matches the Rfam family "tRNA". Rfam says of the family: Transfer RNA (tRNA) molecules are approximately 80 nucleotides in length. Their secondary structure includes four short double-helical elements and three loops (D, anti-codon, and T loops). Lineage: Bacteria; Bacillati; Chloroflexota; Dehalococcoidia. The record is from RNAcentral.
GGAGGGGUGUCCGAGUGGUCUAAGGAGGCGGUCUUGAAAACCGCUGUUCCCUUUUGGGGACCGUGGGUUCGAAUCCCACCCCCUCCGCCA